AUGCAUGAUACAAGUGUGCUAUUUCAUGCAAUUGAAAAUGACAAGGCCACAUUCCCACAUCCUCCCAACGGCAAGUAUUACCUUGUAGACGCCGGCUAUCCUAAUAGGGAUGGCUAUCUAGCACCAUACAAAGGUGAACGCUAUCACGUCCCCGACUUUCAACGAGGUGCACCCCCAACUACUCCUGUAGAGAAGUUCAACCGUAUCCGCUCCUCCAAGCGCAAUACCAUAGAGAGAACCUUUGGUGUGUGGAAGAUGAAAUGGAAAAUCUUGCUCAAGAUGCCAAACUAUUCGAUUCAAACACAAAAGAUGAUAAUUGCGGCUACCAUGACACUACACAACUAUGUCCACCUCCAUGACAAAGAGGAUAUCCACUUUCUUCGGUGUCAGAGGGAUCCAGAUUAUGUCCCAACUAUUCCAGAGAGAUACAAGAAGUAUGUUAUUGAGAUACAAGAAGUAUGUUAUUCCUCCAAAUGCAUCGGAUUCUUCAACACCGGCGGAAAGUGGUCCUAA
Molecule: ribosomal RNA, 513 nt
Filed under: Triticum aestivum (bread wheat)
Lineage: Eukaryota; Viridiplantae; Streptophyta; Magnoliopsida; Poales; Poaceae
Description: partial small subunit ribosomal RNA
Source: RNAcentral